ACUUUUGGUUAUCAGAAAGGUGUGCAGCUCCCUGCCUGUAUGGGUAAAGUAGAGUAAAUAAGUCAUUCAUCAACUAGGUCUAAUGUACUUCUGUAAAAUUUAGCAGGAGCGUUGACUCUGUGAGCAU
Long non-coding RNA from Thalassophryne amazonica, 127 nucleotides. RefSeq lists it as uncharacterized. The record is from RefSeq and is a predicted model, not a curated record. The transcript is spliced from 3 exons. NCBI's taxonomy places the organism in Eukaryota, Metazoa, Chordata, Actinopteri, Batrachoidiformes, Batrachoididae.